CCUCACUUGUGGCAUGUCAGCGAGUCCCAGCUUAGCGCAGGCACAGUCAGCGAUUUAAGUUGAAGUUAAGCAUUUAAUAAUAACGUGACACUGUAUCGAUCCAUGUGGAGAAAGUUUGUGUCAUGGUCGGCUGUGGAGCAGGUGCAGCCUUGCUGAAAGGCACUUCAGCAGUGACAGUAAAGGCAUGACUCACAGGACCUGCGUUUGGCUGCUUGUGAGAGUGAGUGCAGAGCGCUCUGGUGAGAAGCCAGACAAGGACUCAGAGCCUGGAGCCAACCCGCAUCCUCUGUGACCCCAGCCUUUGUGACGACGAUGCACUUCCUACAGCUUCCUGGCAACUCUCGUUUCCCUUUCUUGUCUCCAAGGCUUCCCUGUCACUAUGGAGUACAUCACAUCAAAGGACAGGAAACAAACGUCUACUUUUUUUUCCCAUCAAAGAGAUAUUUCAGGCACAUGUAGUACUUAGAAUAGCGGCAAAGGCCUGCACAAAUAUCGUCUAAAAUAAAAUCAGAA
Long non-coding RNA from Myripristis murdjan (pinecone soldierfish), 513 nucleotides. RefSeq lists it as uncharacterized. NCBI's taxonomy places the organism in Eukaryota, Metazoa, Chordata, Actinopteri, Holocentriformes, Holocentridae. The transcript has 3 exons. The record is from RefSeq and is a predicted model, not a curated record.